RNAcentral lists this long non-coding RNA (1240 nucleotides) under Monodelphis domestica (gray short-tailed opossum). RNAcentral's name for it is "lncRNA (ENSMODG00000040915.1)". The record is from RNAcentral. Lineage: Eukaryota; Metazoa; Chordata; Mammalia; Didelphimorphia; Didelphidae.
ACCAAAGUAACUGUCAUUCUAUGGAAUGACUCCCUAUGGAGAUAGGGAUAUAUGGGGGAAUGUGGGCUUAAAUUUGAUCUUUACGGAUCUACAAGAAAACAACAAAAGAAGGGGUGUGUAGCUUCCAAGGAGCAAUGGAUCCAAAAUGAGCUCAGCUUAGCUCCAUCAAUCAGCUUCACAACUCAAACCCUGGACACAUCAGACAUUCCUGUAGCAACUGCUCCAAUAGCAGGUCAGUGACAAGUUGGCCCAAGUUUGCAGCUGAUGUAAACCUUGACUAUUCCAAGUCACUCCCAUCUGUUUUUUUUUAAGUUAACAAGCCUUCAUUAAGCACCUGCUAUGUGACAGGCACCAUGCUAAGUGCUAAGAACAUAAAUACAAGCAGAAAGAAAGAUGAUCUGUCCUCUCAAGGACCUUACGUCCUAAUGGGUGAAGACAGCACCCAGAAGGAAGCUGAUUAGGGUAGGGGGUGGAGGAUGCCAAAGAAGAUACCUCUUCUGGGGCACAGUAGAGAAAGCCUAGACAGUCAGGAGAGGAGCCCAGAGAUGAAAGAGGAUAUGAGCAUCAGUCAGCAGAGGAGUCUUCAGGGGUGGCGUGUACUUCCAGUGUGACAUGUCCAGGGGGAGAGUGAACUUCCAAAGGGAGAAAGCUGCUGCGUUUGCCAGCGAGGGGAAGGCAAGGCAAGGGUCUUGGCAACUUCCAGCACCAGGGCAGGCUGUCCUGACAUUUCAGAACUUGAAAGGCUAUGACUGAUCAACUAGUCCAACCCCCUCCUUUGACAGUGAGGCAGUUGAAGCCCAGAGUACGGUUGCCACUCCACUCUACCAUGGUUAGAACUUACCUGGAGUAUUAUGUUCAGUUUUGGUUACCACCAUUUAAGGACUUUAAUAAGCUGGAGUAUUUGGAGAAAGGCAACCAGAACGAAUAAGUGCUCUGAGUCCAUAUCAGAGGACUUGUUGAAGGACAUGGGGAAAAGAACUCUCAGUCGGAUGUGGCCAUCCUCUUCAAAUAACUGAAGGGCUAUUAUGUAGGGAAGGGAUUAGACUACAUUCAUUUGGCCCAAGAGAGCAGAACAUGCAAAGGUCUCAUUGGCCAGGCCCCUGGUACAAGAAAAACUGCAGGUAUGAGAUAACAGUUGAUAUUUUCUAGCACUUUGCAGCCUCAGAACACCUUAUUUGAUUUUUUUUUAAUCUUGCCUUCUUUCUUAGAACUGACUCUGAGACAGAAGAGCAAUAAGGAC